GGGGAUGUAGUUCAGUGGUAGAAUGCUUGCCUAACAUGCAUAAGGCCCUGGGCUCAAUCCCCAGAACCACCA
RNAcentral lists this transfer RNA (72 nucleotides) under Ictidomys tridecemlineatus (thirteen-lined ground squirrel). RNAcentral describes it as "Spermophilus tridecemlineatus (thirteen-lined ground squirrel) tRNA". It matches the Rfam family "tRNA". From Rfam's summary of the family: Transfer RNA (tRNA) molecules are approximately 80 nucleotides in length. Lineage: Eukaryota; Metazoa; Chordata; Mammalia; Rodentia; Sciuridae. The record is from Rfam by way of RNAcentral.